AGUGUCAAGGAAUCUGGUGGCGCCA
Molecule: non-coding RNA, 25 nt
Filed under: Gossypium hirsutum (cotton)
Lineage: Eukaryota; Viridiplantae; Streptophyta; Magnoliopsida; Malvales; Malvaceae
Source: RNAcentral